Molecule: long non-coding RNA, 1125 nt
Organism: Drosophila yakuba
Lineage: Eukaryota; Metazoa; Arthropoda; Insecta; Diptera; Drosophilidae
Exons: 3
Source: RefSeq, a predicted model, not a curated record
CCAAGUGGGCCAAGAGGUAAGGGGCUGUUGGCUAAUAGCUGAUGGCUUAUACCCUAUCGAACUUAUACUGGGCAGCGCGGCUGCCUUUCUGACCAUAUUAAGGCAAUUGCGAUUUCCGAAGCGGGCAAUUAAAAGCCAAAGUCAAAGCUAAAGCUGAGACUGAGACUGAGAACAUUUGCAUAAGCAAUUGAGCGACAUGGCAGGUGGAGCAGGGGCAUUAUUCACGCUCAAAUGGGAUUAGAGUUGGAACCCCUCUUGGUCACGCCCAUAUAUUUUUGGACGUGAUUAUAAAACAAACAUUCAAAAGUGACGUUUGUUGUUUAAUUAUGGCUCGCUUAUUCAUGUUUUUUGCUUUGGGAGUCGUCGUCGUUCGCAGAUUAAGCUGUCAGCAAAGAAACACAACAUUUUUGGCCACUUUGUCACUUCGCACGCAAAUCAAAUUAAUGUUGCAUGCGUUACUUUUCCACUCUCCUUAAAACGUGUGACGACCUUGUGCCAUGAAAAAUGUAUGCUUUCUGGGCAGUAAAAAAAAAAGAGAAUUAUAAUCAAAUUUAACUGUUGUCAUCAUGAUUUAUUUACUUAAGAACAAAACACGACAAACGAUGACGAACUCGCCUUCAGACAGAAGCACAAAGAUAAAUUAUUCACCAGUCAGUCAGUCACAGAGUCGAUCGGUCUAUUGCCCGAAGUCAUUUAUUCAAAAGUGCUCAUAUAUAUGAGUAUAUCGGAGUAUAUCGGGGCAAACUCGAGAUUUAAGCCGGGUAUGUCGUCAUAGCCACAAUAAUGAGAAAACAACUUGUUUUGCCUGCAGGAGCAAAUCCAUUUUGCAAUUAUUUCUCUGUUGUCAGUUAAUUAUAAUUACUUGUGAAGCAACAAAAUGCAAGCAAAAAAAGCUAAACAACUAUGUCUGUAAACAAUAUUCUUUGUUCAAAAAAAAAAGCUACAAAAUCGGAUUCGAACAACUGAAUUGUGACUUUGAAAUCAGCUUAGCAAUUUGAAAUUAGACGCGAUGUGAAAACAACUUGAGAAGUGCACACACCCAAUUCAUCAACUGAAACUGAUCGAAACAAAUUAGAAUAAAUUAUGAAAUCCAAAUAAAAUUGCCAGAACUUCGACUAUCCGAUA